This 385-nucleotide ribosomal RNA is filed under the name uncultured eukaryote. RNAcentral describes it as "bacterial SSU rRNA". It matches the Rfam family "Eukaryotic small subunit ribosomal RNA", at positions 592 to 984 of the family's 1831-position model. The record is from RNAcentral.
CAAUAGCGUAUAUUAAAGUUGUUGCAGUUAAAAGCUCGUAGUCGGAUUUUGGCAUCACGCCGAACUGUCUGCCGAUUGGUAAGUACGGUUUGGCGGUGGCUCUCCUUCCGGAGGCUCGUUCCCUUCUUAACUGAAGGGUUCGUUGGUUCCGGGUCUUUUACUUUGAAAAAUUAGAGUGUUCAAAGCAGGCAAUCGCUUGAAUACAUUAGCAUGGAAUAAUAGAAUAGGACUUUGGUUCUAUUUUGUUGGUUUCUAGGACCGAAGUAAUGAUUAAUAGGGACAGUGGGGCAGUUAGUAUUUAAUUGUCAGAGGUGAAAUUCUUGGAUUUAUGAAAGACUAACUACUGCGAAAGCAUUUGCCAAGGAUGUUUUCAUUAAUCAAGAAC